Molecule: ribosomal RNA, 460 nt
Filed under: uncultured bacterium
Lineage: Bacteria
Description: partial 16S ribosomal RNA
Rfam family: Bacterial small subunit ribosomal RNA
Source: RNAcentral
CCUACGGGAGGCAGCAGUGAGGAAUAUUGGUCAAUGGACGAGAGUCUGAACCAGCCAAGUAGCGUGAAGGAUGAAUGCCCUAUGUGUUGUAAACUUCUUUUAUAAAGGAAUAAAACGAGGCACGUGUGCCUUUUUGCAUGUACUUUAUGAAUAAGGAUCGGCUAACUCCGUGCCAGCAGCCGCGGUAAUACGGAGGAUCCGAGCGUUAUCCGGAUUUAUUGGGUUUAAAGGGAGCGUAGAUGGGUUGUUAAGUCAGUUGUGAAAGUUUGCGGCUCAACCGUAAAAUUGCAAUUGAUACUGGCAGUCUUGAGUACAGUUGAGGUAGGCGGAAUUCGUGGUGUAGCGGUGAAAUGCUUAGAUAUCACGAAGAACCCCGAUUGCGAAGGCAGCUUACCAAACUGUGACUGACAUUGAUGCUCGAAAGUGUGGGUAUCAAACAGGAUUAGAUACCCGAGUAGUC